This 751-nucleotide ribosomal RNA is filed under the name uncultured Halomonas sp. RNAcentral's name for it is "bacterial SSU rRNA". It matches the Rfam family "Bacterial small subunit ribosomal RNA", at positions 28 to 776 of the family's 1533-position model. Lineage: Bacteria; Pseudomonadati; Pseudomonadota; Gammaproteobacteria; Oceanospirillales; Halomonadaceae. The record is from RNAcentral.
AUUGAACGNNNGCGGCAGGCCUAACACAUGCAAGUCGAGCGGUAACAGGGGGUGCUUGCACCCCGCUGACGAGCGGCGGACGGGUGAGUAAUGCAUAGGAAUCUGCCCGAUAGUGGGGGAUAACCUGGGGAAACCCAGGCUAAUACCGCAUACGUCCUACGGGAGAAAGGGGGCUUCGGCUCGCGCUACCGGAUGAGCCUAUGUCGGAUUAGCUAGUUGGUGGGGUAAUGGCCCACCAAGGCAACGAUCCGUAGCUGGUCUGAGAGGAUGAUCAGCCACAUCGGGACUGAGACACGGCCCGAACUCCUACGGGAGGCAGCAGUGGGGAAUAUUGGACAAUGGGGGGAACCCUGAUCCAGCCAUGCCGCGUGUGUGAAGAAGGCCCUCGGGUUGUAAAGCACUUUCAGUGAGGAAGAACGCCUGGUGGUUAAUACCCAUCAGGAAAGACAUCACUCACAGAAGAAGCACCGGCUAACUCCGUGCCAGCAGCCGCGGUAAUACGGAGGGUGCGAGCGUUAAUCGGAAUUACUGGGCGUAAAGCGCGCGUAGGUGGCUUGAUAAGCCGGUUGUGAAAGCCCCGGGCUCAACCUGGGAACGGCAUCCGGAACUGUCAAGCUAGAGUGCAGGAGAGGAAGGUAGAAUUCCCGGUGUGGCGGUGAAAUGCGUAGAGAUCGGGAGGAAUACCAGUGGCGAAGGCGGCCUUCUGGACUGACACUGACACUGAGGUGCGAAAGCGUGGGUAGCAAACAGG